CCUACGGGUGGCAGCAGUGGGGAAUAUUGCACAAUGGGGGAAACCCUGAUGCAGCGACGCCGCGUGAGUGAAGAAGUAUUUCGGUACGUAAAGCUCUAUCAGCAGGGAAGAAAAUGACGGUACCUGACUAAGAAGCCCCGGCUAACUACGUGACAGCAGCCGCCGUUAUACGUAAGGGGCAAGCGUUAUCCGGAUUUACUGGGUGUAAAGGGAGCGUAGACGGCAGCGCAAGUCUGAAGUGAAAUCCCAUGGGUUAAACAUGGAACUGCUGUGGAAACUGUGCAGCGGGAGGGCAGGAGAGGUAAGCGGAAGUCCUAGUGUAGCGGUGAAAUGCGUAGAUAUUAGGAGGAACACCAGUGGCGAAGGCGGCAUACUGGCGUGGAACUGACGUUGAGGCUCGAAAGCGUGGGGAGCAAACAGGAUUAGAUACCCGUGUAGUC
This 440-nucleotide ribosomal RNA is filed under the name uncultured bacterium. RNAcentral describes it as "partial 16S ribosomal RNA". It matches the Rfam family "Bacterial small subunit ribosomal RNA", at positions 338 to 795 of the family's 1533-position model. The record is from RNAcentral.